AGGAUUCCCCUAGUAACUGCGAGUGAAGAGGGAAAAGCUCAAAUUUAAAAUCUGGCAGUGUUCUCGCUGUCCGAGUUGUAAUUUAGAGAAGUGUUACCCGUGCUGGACCGUGUACAAGUCUUCUGGAAUGGAGCGUCAUAGAGGGUGAGAAUCCCGUCUUUGACACGGACUACCAGUACAUUGUGGUACGCUCUCAAAGAGUCGUGUUGUUUGGGAAUGCAGCACUAAAUGGGUGGUAAAUUCCAUCUAAAGCUAAAUAUUGGCGAGAGACCGAUAGCAAACAAGUACCGUGAGGGAAAGAUGAAAAGAACUUUGGAAAGAGAGUUAAACAGUACGUGAAAUUGUUGAAAGGGAAACGCUUAAAGUCCAGUCGCGUUGGUUGGAAAUCAGUCUUGCUUUUGCUUGAUGUACUUUCUGAUUGACGGGUCAGCAUCAGUUUUGACCGUUGGAUAAAGGUUGGAGGAAUGUGGCAUCUUCGGAUGUGUUAUAGCCUUCAAUUGUAUACAACGGUUGGGACUGAGGAACUCAGCACGCCGAAAGGCCGGGUCUUGUACCACGUUCGUGCUUAGGAUGCUGGCAUAAUGGCUUUAAUCG
RNAcentral lists this ribosomal RNA (594 nucleotides) under Xerula hispida. RNAcentral describes it as "eukaryotic LSU rRNA". It matches the Rfam family "Eukaryotic large subunit ribosomal RNA", at positions 71 to 646 of the family's 3401-position model. The record is from RNAcentral. Lineage: Eukaryota; Fungi; Basidiomycota; Agaricomycetes; Agaricales; Physalacriaceae.